UACUGACUGACUGACUGUACCCACUGGAAGUAGGAUAUAGCACCUACUGACUGACUGACUGUACCAGCUGGAUGUGGGAUCUAGCACCUACUGACUGACUGACUGUACCAGCUGGACAUCGGAUCUAGCACCUACUGACUGACUGACUGUACCAGCUGAAUGUGGAAUCUAGCACCUACUGACUGACUGACUACUGGAUGUGGGAUCUAGCAGCUACUGACUGACUGUACCAGCUGGACUUGGGAUAUAACACCUACUGACUGACUGUACCGGCUGGAUGUGGGAUCUAGCACCUACUGACUGACUGACUGUACCAGCUAGACAUGGGAUAUAACAUCUACUGACUUACUGACUGUACCGGAUGGAUGUGGGAUCUAGCACCUACUGACUGACUGACUGUACCAGCUGAAUGUGGAAUCUAGCACCUACUGACUGACUGACUACUGGAUGUGGGAUCUAGCAGCUACUGACUGACUGUACCAGCUGGACUUGGGAUAUAACACCUACUGACUGACUGUACCAGCUGGACUUGGGAUAUAACACCUACUGACUGACUCUUCCAGCUGAGGAUGGGAUCUAUCACGUACUGACUGAGUGUACCAGCUGAGGAUGGGAUCUAGCCCUAACUCUGACUGACUGUACCAGAUGAGGACAGGAUCUAGCACGUACUGACUGACUGUGCCAGCUGAUUAAAUCACUUACUGACUGUACCAGCUGAUUACAUAACUGACUGACUCUACCAGCUGGCACGGCGAUGGGAUCUAACACCUACUAACUGUCUGACUGACGGACUUUCUGACCGACUGUCUGACUGAUUAGCUGGCUGACUGGCUAGGCUGACUGGCUAGGCUGACUGACUGACUGACUGACUGACUGGCUGGCUGGCUGGCUGGCUGGCUGGCUGGCUGACUUCCUGACUGAUUGGCUGGCUGGCUGACUGGCUGGCUGAUUGGCUGGCUGACUGAUUGGCUGAUUGGCUGGCUGGCUGACUGGCUGGCUGACUGGCUGGCUGGCUGACUGAUUGGCUGGCUGAUUGGCUGGCUGGCUGACUGGCUGGCUGACUUCCUGACUGAUUGGCUGGCUGGCUGACUGACUGGCUGACUGUCCUUCCAUUGCCUUCUCUCCCCGGGGAUUCAGACGGGAAAACAAAGCCAGAGAACUUGAACCAACUGUAAUGUAACUAGUUAAAGCAGGCGACACACUUGAGUCUGUCUGUCUGUCUGUCUGUUAAAGUCAUGAUUAUUCAAUACUACCAUAAUUAUAUUAUUCUAUUGAUCUGUUAUAGUCAUGAUUAUUCAAUACCACCAUAAUUAUAUUAUUCUGUUGAUAUUGUUGGGGUUGUGAACGUACAGUACAGUAAGAGACUAUUGUUUGUGGAUACUGUACUUUUUAAAGACGAAGCUGAGAACACUGCUGCUACCUGACGGUGACUGUAACAUUAGGUCUGUACGGUGCCCAUAUUAGGACAGCGUCAGUCUCAGCAGGCGUUAUUAGGUCCUGAUCAGACUGAGGAUGUCCUAAUACAGACACCAUAGGUGUGUUAUUUAAUGAUGGUCUGCAUUCCAAAUGGCACCUUGUUCCCUUUGUAGCUGAACUAUUGUUGACCAGAGCCUACGGUGUUGACCAGGUCCUACAGUGUUGACCAGGGCCUACAGUGUUGACCAGAGCCUACGGUGUUGACCAGAGCCUACGGUGUUGACCAGGUCCUACAGUGUUGACCAGGGCCUACAGUGUUGACCAGGGCCUACGGUGUUGACCAGGUCCUACAGUGUUGACCAGGUCCUACGGUGUUACCAGGGCCUACAGUGUUGACCAGAGCCUACGGUGUUGACCAGGUCCUACGGUGUUGACCAGGACCCACAGUGUUGACCAGGUCCUACGGUGUUGACCAGGGCCUACAGUGUUGACCAGGGCCUACGGUGUUGACCAGGUCCUACGGUGUUGACCAGGGCCUACAGUGUUGACCAGGGCCUACGGUGUUGACCAGGUCCUACAGUGUUGACCAGGGUCUACAGUGUUGACCAGGGUCUACAGUGUUGACCAGGGCCUACAGUGUUGACCAGGGCCUACGGCUGCUGGUGUUGACCAGAUGCUACGGCUGCUGGUGUUGACCAGAUCCUACGGCUGCUGGUGUUGACCAGGUCCUACGGCUGCUGGUGUUGACCAGAUCCUACGGCUGCUGGUGUUGACCAGGUCCUACGGCUGCUGGUGUUGACCAGGUCCUACGGCUGCUGGUCAACAUAGUGUACUCUAUGGGGAACAGGAUGCCAUGUGGAACACAGCCCCUAUUGAAGACCUUUCUAGCUAUGUUGGUUCUGUUGUUUGUGCACGGAAAUGGAAUUAAAUACAACAAGGGCACGUUUUUGUUAUUUUUCAACAUAAUAUAUUUUGCACUGAGACACAAAAAUGUGUUAAUACUGUACAUUUUGUUUUUAGAUGCGUGUAUAAAGCCUCACCAGUGCCACAUAGUUCAAAUGUAUAAAAUAUUGUUGUACUGUGGAAUGUUAAUAGUCUUUUGGAUUGCAAUGUAUUGCCUUUACACACAGUCUGCUGGUUGUCAACACUAUAGGCCAUAAAGGAGGGGCAUCUGACUGCUAUAGAAUUACCGGCCAUAAAGGAGGGGCAUCUGACUGCUAUAGAAUUACCGGCCAUAAAGGAGGGGCAUCUGACUGCUAUAGAAUUACCGGCAUC
Oncorhynchus tshawytscha (Chinook salmon) is the source of this 2691-nucleotide long non-coding RNA. The record is from Ensembl. NCBI's taxonomy places the organism in Eukaryota, Metazoa, Chordata, Actinopteri, Salmoniformes, Salmonidae.